CUCACUUCUUUCCUCUUUCCACAAAACCCUACUCUCCCUUUAGCAAUGGCAGAUUUUGCCUAUCCAUUUUCGUGCAACGUUCUCUCUCUCAUUCCUCUGUCCUCUCUCUUUCCUCUUCACGCCUCUUCCUCCAUUUUUAGCAAAAGCACAGAUCCCUUUAGCCAAAGCAGUCCAUGUCCACCCAUUUCCACACAAGAAAACAUCCAAACGUCUCCUUUCCCCGAGCUCUGUCGUUGACAGAGAAAGAAAUCCCUCUUCUAGCUUCAAACACGAGUCGAUCCUCACAGACCAUAAAUGGUCGAACCUUUUCGGUAACCCGAAUGGAAUCACGUGACCAUCUGCUUUGGAUGGUCCAUUGGAUUCAACUUUGAAUCAAUUUCAUUAUCCCGCCCGAAAAACCCUAGCCUUUUACCUAUAAAUAUGAUCUUAAGUCCAUAGCCGAAAGGAGGUUCUUUUUUUAGCAACUGGAAUUCUCUGAAAAUACCAAAAAAUAGUCUCAUUUUGUUACUUGACAUCAACUUUAAGAUACAAAACAUUUUUACUCUCUUUCACUCUAUUACUGUUUUGGAAUCCGAGCAUACGCAAGCUCGGAGAUAUUAAUAGUCGAGCGUAGAUCCGCGACCCUGCACCCCAUUCAUUGCACUCAAAAAAGUUCUCAAAAGGUAGACACAAUUCUUUCACUACCCGGAGGAGAAUCAAAGAGGAAAAAAUGAAGACUCGUAGUAUGGAUUCAUCUCAAUCACGCAGAGAUAAUGGGAAGAUCCAACUGCAUUAACGUUUUGUACAAAUUUAGGGGAAAUGACAUACUCCUGCGUUGUUCAAUUUCGUAUGUUUUUUAUUUUUCCCGACUAAUCAUCCUCCAUUUUUUUCUAUUUAUAUGUAUUUGUUAAGUAACUUGUAUAGAUGACACUAACCUGCAGUUGGAGUACUUGGAAGAAAAGAUAAUCAAAGAUCUGUAUCCUGAAUUCAUUAGCUAUCUAAUAUAUCUGGACGAAUAAACAACUGAGAAGGAAAUUAAUGAUGUUGAAUCCUAGAAAGAAUAAUAGGGUGAUUUGUUUCUAAGUAUAAGAUUUCACUCUUCUUGAUU
Long non-coding RNA from Lycium barbarum (goji berry), 1087 nucleotides. RefSeq lists it as uncharacterized. The record is from RefSeq and is a predicted model, not a curated record. Lineage: Eukaryota; Viridiplantae; Streptophyta; Magnoliopsida; Solanales; Solanaceae. The transcript is spliced from 2 exons.